Molecule: ribosomal RNA, 524 nt
Filed under: uncultured bacterium
Lineage: Bacteria
Description: partial 16S ribosomal RNA
Rfam family: Bacterial small subunit ribosomal RNA
Source: RNAcentral
GACGAACGCUGGCGGCGUGCUUAACACAUGCAAGUCGAACGAGACGAUUGAAAGCUUGCUUUUAAAAGUCGAGUGGCAAACGGGUGAGUAACGCGUAGACAACCUGCCUUUGAGAUGGGGACAACAGUUCGAAAGGACUGCUAAUACCGAAUGUUGUAUAUUUUCCACAUGGAAGAUAUAUUAAAGAUGGCCUCUAUUUAUAAGCUAUCGCUCAAAGAUGGGUCUGCGUCUGAUUAGCUGGUUGGCGGGGUAACGGCCUACCAAGGCGACGAUCAGUAGCUGGUCUGAGAGGAGGAACGGCCACAUUGGGACUGAGACACGGACCAGACUCAUACGGGAGGCAGCAGUGGGGAAUCUUCCACAAUGGACGAAAGUCUGAUGGAGCAACGCCGCGUGAGUGAAGAAGGUUUUCGGCUCGUAAAGCUCUGUUUUCGGGGACGAAUGUGCAGUAUUUGAAUAAAGUACUGCAAUGACGGUACCUGACGAGGAAGCCACGGCUAACUACGUGCCAGCCGCCGCCGUAA